Molecule: long non-coding RNA, 9766 nt
Organism: Oncorhynchus nerka (sockeye salmon)
Lineage: Eukaryota; Metazoa; Chordata; Actinopteri; Salmoniformes; Salmonidae
Exons: 2
Source: RefSeq, a predicted model, not a curated record
GGAAUUAUCAGAAUUAGUUGAGUAACAUAGAUAAGAUGUGUUAUUUUCAUGAUAUGCUUAUGAGUUAUUUCUCAUAAGAAUGUAUUUUGUUGUACUAUAGUGGUGGCCAUUGGCAGUUAUCUGUUCUAUGUCAGGACUAAGUUGCAUGGGCCACAGGAGAGGGGAGAGGUCAAGGGGUCAUCAUGUGUAAACGUAUCUUUUCGGUGUGGCAGUGACUCCCUACUUUUCUCAUCGGGGAAAGAAGGGUGACAGUGUCUGGAAUCAUUCUAUGCUCCCUCUUUGUUGACCUAUAGGGUCACUCUCCUCUCCGUGAGUUUGUCCUCUGUUUGGUUGUAUUUAGAAUUGUUUCUAAAUAAAUUACAAUUUGUAUAUAUCAUAGGGUGGGGGUAAUGUCUUGGUACCAUUUUGUACCAAGGACGAGAUAAGAGCUUUGUUUAGGAGACCAAACUGAACGAUAAUUUAUAGCCCACUCUGUCUGACUAGGGGAUAUUCUCUCUGAAGUAAGGUUUUUUUCUCUCCCUGUAAGUUCCUAAGACCUGUGUUUUGUCAUGUCGUCUAGGAGGGGGUGGACCUUUGCUAUAAAGGAUCCCAUUUGCCAUUGUGUAAGGACUCUCAACUUUUCAUUAGAGAUACUGAAAUGUUGAAAGUCAAAAUGCUAUUGCAAAAGCUUAAUUAUUAUUAAAGGUGAAGAUUAAGCAUAACUCUGACUCGUGUGAUUUGCUCUCUCAUCAUUUGGUAAUUAAGGAAAUUUCCACGACAUUUGGCGACGGGGAUGGGAUGUGAAUCUUCACUCGGUGAACGCUCCUGACGACCUAGGUAAUCGUGCACAAGGGAUCCCUCAAACUCGGGAUCUCAGGGAGACCACACUUCGAGAACAGAGCAGAUGGACCAACCUAAGAUCGGAGAGGCAGCGAGCCGAGUGGAUACCACAUCCCGAACAUAGUAAAAAAAAAAAAAAAAAGAGGUGAGAUGAGCAAACCACAUUUGAAGUUUGAGUUGGAUAGGACUUAGAGCUUGGUGAAGCCCUAGUGGAAGAAGGACCUCAUUCUGUGUAUCUGUGUGAUUGUCUAAGUGACUCUCAGAGGUGGUGAAUUCCAAUUAUUAUAAAUGUGCUAGCCAGGUAUGCCAUGGGUUACUCUGUGUGAGUACUGUGUAGGAGUGUUCUGUGUGGGCGCGGUAGGUAGACUCUGUGUGGGUUACCUUUUUAUGUUCUGAUGUCCUGUGUGGGUGAUCAGUAAAAUUCUGUGUGAAGUACUUAAGGAAUUCCUGUUGUAUUUUUUGUGUGUGUGUGUGUGUGUGUGUGUGUGUGUGUGUGUGACAGAGAGACAGAGACUAAGAAGCCAUGGGCGUGCGCGAGUGCAAAGAACCAGGCAUUCCGGACCCUCCUACUGGAGCCUUGAAGGUUAUGGUAGAUAAAUGGGUGUUGCCGGACCUCCCUCCUCCUCAGGCGCCUCCUGCUGAUCCGCUGGAUGCAAGACUACUGCAACCUGCAACCCCACCCCCUGUCUCUCCCAACACCACGGUGAUUGAUCGUCUGGCACGGAGCCUGGCUGAAGUCCUGACAGGGUCUGGAGUGACUCCGGCCAGUCUCACUGGAGGCGCAGUGGGGGGAGCACGCCAGAAGGGUAAAAAAGAUCAACAAUCCUUUUCUCAAGGCUCCUCCACUCAGCUCCAGUGAGGUAAGUGAGGACGGAGGGGCACCCCAGCUGACUCCCCCGUUGAAGGACCGUCUACGGACCAGGACGGAGAGGCGUGUCUCUACCCCCUUCCAAUACGACCCAGCAUCAGACAUGUAUCAUCAAUACCCUCUGAUGGCCUGUCCUAACCCUCAGCCUCAACCUGAUGAUGCUAAUGCUGCUGCCGCCGCAGCAUGGAACCCCAUUGUGUAUGUCCGGAGGACGUGGAGACAUGAUGAAAUCAAAGACAUUGUAGAGGACCUACCAGACCCAAGUAAGGACGCUGUGAAAUAUUCAGCAGAGAUGAAGGUAUUAAUGGGUCAGUACAAACCAUCUGCUGCUGAGAUAACCCAUAUCUGUAAAAAGAAACUGGGACUCAGGUGGGCGGAUGUACAGGGACAGUUUGAUUGCAACUACCUGUGGGCUGAGAAUGGCGCAUAUCAGGACCAGAUAACGGCGCUGCUGGCCAGGAUUGUGGAGAUGUAUCCAACUAAGACUGACUGGACUGCUAUCAGAGAAUGCACUAUGAAGAAAGAUGAGGGCCUGGAGGCUUUCAGAAAGAGACUUGAGACCUGUUUCAGGCUACACAGCGGUAUCAGACCAAAAGAACACGCAUAUGGGGAUCUGCUGAAAGACGCCCUAGUGAGGGGUCUGACACCGGGCCUGGAGAAAGCUGUGAGGACUACCUGCAUCAGUUGGGAGACUGAGCCAUUAGCAACGGUGGUACAGCACUGCAAGCAUGCUGAGAGACAACAGAGUACACAGAAGGAAGAAAAAAUAAACGAAGAAUAAGUAAAGACACAGAAACUACAGGCUGCCCAGAUGACGUUUUACAAGGGAGCAGCCCCAGCAGGGACAGGACGAGGGGGUGGAGUGCGCAGGUGCUACAACUGUGGGAUGCCGGGUCAUUUUGCUGCUGACUGCUCCGAGCCAACGAAUCCACAGAGGAACAAAGACAGGGGCGGACCGAGAAGAGGGGUCCGAGAGGAGGGGGCAAGAAGAGGAGGAAAAGGAGCACAUGCAUGGACAGCCCCAUUCCAACAACAGCCGUGGCAGCCACCUCACGGGGUCCAGCAACAGUGGGGACCACAAGGAGUCCCUCCAUGCAAAGGACAAACUGGAGCCUGGCAGACGGGGCCGCCGGCACAGACAACCCUGUACAAUCCAGGACAGGGACAGGAGGAGGAGUAUUGACAUGAUGAGAAGACAGGGACAGUUGUGCUAAAAUCCUCAGAGCAACAAGAGCAUUUGUUUUUAAAGUGUCACACCCUUCCGAGAGUAGAGGCAACAGUGGAGGCUUGCGUCAAUGGUGAGUCAUUAAUAUUUCUUGUUGAUACUGGGGCUGCUAUGUCUGUCAUUAACUGCAAGGCUAUGAUAAAACCUCCCAUGUCUAAUGAAAUAGUCAAAACUAUAGGGGCUUCAGGCCUCCCACUCAGAGAGCAGGUAACUAUGCCUCUGCCUGUCUCCUUUUGUGAAGAGAAGGGUCAACAUCAAUUUCUCUACUCUGACCACUAUCCUGUCAAUCUGAUGGGCAGGGACCUCCUGUGUAAACUGGGCAUCAACAUAACAUGUGGCCGAACCGGUUUAACUGUUAUUCAUGAGGAAGAGGAGGAAGAGGGGGAGCAAUUGAUGUUAAUGUCUGAGUGUUGUGACUGGUAUUAUGCAUGGGAUGUUGAUGAUGAGGUGCCCAAUAUUGCUCGUGUUUUCUCAAUGGCCAAAACCCAUUGGGGCCACGAGGGCAGUUUCAUGUCUGAAGCAGGCUUACAUUGCACCUCCCAUUUUUCACCAUUGACAAGAGAUCUCCAUUAUGAGAAACAAUGGCUGUGUGAUACAUUACAGAAUGAGUCAGUGCAGUGUGAGGGUAUAUACUGUAGCAGUGAUUUCUGUGCUUUAGGGGUUAAUCUAACCCCUGCACAGAAAGAGCUCUACCUGUUUAAGGAUAGCGCACCACAUGUGUCCCUGGCAAAAUCAGACGGAGUAGAAUGGGUGGAUACUGGAAUUUGGAUGAAAUGCUUGGUUGAUGCUACAGACUGGGAGAUGCACCCUGAUGGGUCAACUUAUUCACCCAGCACACUGACAAGUUGUUACCCACUCAGUUGGGGAACACCAACUGAGAGGGGUGUGCAUGGUGUUGAUCAGGUUUCUUUUUCUACCAAUGUCAUGUUGUUGAGUGAAGACUCACCCCUCCUGAGAGGGGUCCCUGAAUGCCUAUGGGCAAGGGACAAGUAUGAUUUUGGGAGAAUAAAGGGAGCUGAGCCAAUGGUAGUCACUCCUAAAGAUACCAGGCGCCCGUCUAGAGCACAGUAUCCACUCAGUAAGGAGGCAAUAGCAGGUAUUACACCUGUUCAUGCAUCCUUGUUAGCUAAUGGUGCUUUAAUUCCCUGUCAAGAAUCACCCUGUAACACCCCUAUCUUGCCUGUUAGAAAACCUUCAGGUGAUUGGAGAUUUGUCCAGGACUUAAGGCCUGUGAACGAUGCAGUUUUUGCCCGUGCCCCGGUGGUUCCUAAUGUUACUACACUGUUGGGGGCGGUACCACCCACAGCAGAGUGGUUCUCUGUGAUUGAUUUCACAAAUGCAUUUUUCAGUAUUCCAGUGGCACCAGAAUCUCAGUUCUGGUUUGCUUUCACGUUUCUAGGGAAGCGUUUUACUUGGACCGUCGCUCCAAUGGGUUAUGUGGAUUCCGCCGCAAUUUUUUCAGCGGCUUUAGCACAAAAUCUGGAGGGUCUUAUACCCCCUGAGGGCAGCACUCUGAUUCAGUAUGUGGAUGAUUUGUUGUUGUGCUCCAGCUCAGUGGAAACUUGUGAAACUGAUACUCGGGCUCUGUUGAUAUUUCUCACUGAGAAUGGCCACAAAGUUUCAAUGAAGAAGUUACAGUUGGUUUCACAGGCAGUGAGGUAUUUGGGUCAUGACAUCUCUCCCAAUGGCAGGCAGCUGGGUAAGGAGAGGAUACAGGCUAUUCUCUCUGUCCCACAGCCGGUUACUAAACGACACAUGAUGUCAUUGACUGGUAUGGCAGGGUAUUGUAGGGCGUGGUUACCUGACUAUGAGUGGCAAAAUUAAGUGGACACCAGAGGGACUGACUGCUCUGACCAAACUGAAACAACGCAUGACUACUUCUCCCUGUUUGGGGCUCCCUGACCAUUCUAAACCUUUUAACCUUUUUGUUUGUGAGAAAAAUGGUUUUAUGUCAUCUGUUUUAACACAGGAACAUGGAGGAAAGCAGCGCCCAGUUGGGUAUUAUUCCAAACAGCUGGACAGUGUGGCCAGAGGUCUGGUUUGUUGUUUGAGAGCUGUGGCUGCUGCUACUGAAGCUGUGUUGGCUUGUGCAGACAUUGUUGCCAUGUGUGAACUCACUGUACACGUUCCUCAUGCUGUACAUGCUCUUAUUUCACAGGCAAAGACGGCCCAUCUAAAACCAGCUCGACUGCUCCAUUAUCAGAAUGUUCUUCUGACAAUGUGUCAUGUGACCCUGAAGAGGUGCACUGUGUUAAAUCCUGCUACUUUGUUGCCCACCGAGGAUGAUGGAGAGCCUCACGACUGUGCUGAACUGUUGGAGCUUGUCUCUAAACCAAGGUCGGAUUUAACUGACGUCCCUUUGCAAAAUGCACAUUUGGAACUGUUUGUAGAUGGCUCUGCUCAGCGUUCUGAGAAAGGAGAACCAUUGGUUGCGUAUGCGGUUACUACUGCCUCAACCAUACUGGAAAGUGCUAAAUUACCCUCCCACCUUUCUGCUCAAGCAGCAGAACUCUUUGCACUCACUAGAGCUUGCAUAUUAGCUAAAGGCCAGUCUGCUACAAUCUAUACAGAUAGCAGAUAUGCCUUUGGUGUGGUACAUGAUUUUGGUACUCUGCGGAAACAGCACGGCUUCCUGACCUCCUCUGGUAAGGCGAUCUCUCAUUCAAAACUUGUUGAUAACUUGCUAAAAGCUAUUUUGCUCCCUUCUGAAAUUGCUGUUUGUAAGUGCCUUGCUCAUGCUAACUCUUCCGACCCUGUCUCCAAAGGUAAUGCUAUGGCUGACUUGGCAGCUAAGGCAGCAGCUGUCUCCUUGGAGGCCCCUGUGUUACAGAUGGUUUUAGUUCCUGAUAGUAACCUCUUCUCUCCCACUGAUAUCUCUGACUUACAAUCCUCUGUAGGUCCUGUUGAGUUGAGAAAGUGGAAACGACUAUGUACAUAUGACCAGGUGCAGAAACUCUGGCUGGGCCCGGCUGGGCUACCAGUCUUACCACGUUCAUGUUUCCCCUACUUAGCUAAGUUGUCACAUGGAAGAGAUCAUGUGUCAAAGGGGGGAGUUGUUGAUUUUGUAAAUACAUUUUGGUUUGCACCUGGGUUUUCUGUGUUUGCUGAACAAUUUUGUGCAAAAUGUGUGAUUUGUAUGACUAACAACAUGGGAAGAGGUAUUCCCAUGCCACUGUCGGCUCAUCCAACCCCUGAAGGACCAUUUGAACACAUAAUGAUGGAUUUGAUUGAACUCUCUCCUUGGCAAGGUUACAAAUAUUGUCUGGUGAUAGUGGAUGCCUUCUCCAAGUGGGUAGAGGCAUUCCCAUGUCGACAUUCCACUGCUAUGGCAGUAGCCAAGAAUCUCCUUAGGGAGAUCAUCCCAAGGUGGGGGUUACCAUCUAAAUUAACCAGCGACAAUGGCUCCCACUUUGUAAACCUGGUGAUACAGAACUUGUCUGAGAGUCUGCAGAUAGACCUCAGGACCCAUUGUAGCUAUAGGCCGCAAUCCGGAGGUUUAAUUGAACGCGUUAAUCAAACGCUGAAAUCUAAGAUGGUGAAGCUUAUGGCAGAGACGGGGCUUUCUUGGGUCACUGUGAUCCCCCUGGCGCUGAUGUACAUGCGAGAGAGGCCCCACAGAACCACUGGAAUGGCUCCUCAUGAGGUUCUGACAGGUAGACCAAUGAGGAUGAUUAAUUCUCCUUUCCCACAGAACAAGCUGACACUGAUGGGCUGCGACGAUGACAUGGUAAGUUAUUGUAUUGCUCUAAACAAUGUUCUGAAGGCUAUUUUCCCCAGGGUGAAAGCGGCUCUACCCCAGCCACUGGUGGGGAUCCUGCACAAACUGCAACCAGGUGACUGGGUGGUGGUGAAAGACCUGAGACGAAAGCAUUGGAACCAGCAGAGGUGGACUGGACCAUACCAGGUGAUGCUGAUUACCCCUACUGCUGUUCACGUAGCUGAGAGGUCUACUUGGAUCCACGCCAAUCACUGCAGGAAGGUGCCAUACUGCCCACCAGACCCUGAGGAUAAAGGACCAGAGACGCCGGAAGUCACCGACUAGAUGGGAAGAUCAGGCCCAGACUCUACGCAUCAUGUUUCUUGCUCUGGUCUUGAGCAUUCUCAUUACAGUUGCCAUAUGGACAGUGACUCAAGGACAACCGGUCCUGGAAAGACAACAUGGUACGGACUCGACUGAUAACCGUUCAGUCCCACUGCGGGACUUAAAUAACAGCCACUCCAGCUCGAGCCAACGGCAGGCUCAGGACAGGAGUCCAGCAAACAAUAGCCGCUCCCAUAUCGAAAGAAGAAGAAGGUCAAUGCAUCCACUGGAUGAGCAUCACAGUAGGAAUCACGAGGGAAACACUUGGUGGUCACUGCUUAACUAUACAGUAAAGACUGAACUGAUGUUAGGAAAUACCUCCUGUUAUGUAUGUAGCUUGUUUCCACAUUCAGCGAUCUCCCCAUUUUUACAGUAUUCAGUAGAGUUCAGCAUUAAAGACACUAUGUGCACUAGAGGCGCUCUUGUCAAAUGAGAACACAUGGGGUCAACCUUCACUAGGUAGAACACUGAGGGAUAAAUGCAUUAAUGGUCAUUUGUCAUCAACAAAAGAUUUACGGGGGGGAUUUGAUUGUUCACAUUGGUGUAGUAGAAUAAUCUUAGAACCUAGAUCCCGUGUACCAGAACCUAUUAAAGUCCAACCCCGGCGAACCCCAUUUAGGACCUGUCAUUGUCACAAUCCAAGCAAUAUUUCCAUACCACAAUUGAAUGAAUCCUAUCUGGGAAUGUCAACAUGUGUCAAUUAUAGUGUUUUCCCAAUAGGAUGUAGCUGGAAGAAGGGAACAUGCAGCUCUGGAUACCCCAUUAGACUGAGGGUGGGACACACCAUUAUUGAUGCUGAAACUGACAGUCGUUCUCCUCAUCAAUUUGGCUCGGCAACAUUUACUGAUCAUUAUUGGAUUUGUGGGGAUAAAGCUUAUCUCUACCUACCCACAAAUUGGACAGGGUGCUGUGUUUUUGGUAAACUAAACAUCUCCCUUGUGGUAAUGCAUAAAACUAAUUCCUCUAUUCCAAGCAGGUUAAGACUAAUUAAGAGGGACAUCUCGCAAUACAAUAAUGUCCCUAGUGACUCUCGACAAUCCUCGAAAUUGGAAAAGUUCUGGCGUGGUUUAAUCCCCUGGUAUGGGGCAUCGGAGAAUGCACAUGAGUUGGAUAGGCUAGGAUAUCAUUUGGAAUCCCUGGUAAAUUUGACCACUGCAGGGUUUUCUAUGAUAAGACCAGAAUUACAAGCCACUCAACUCAUGGCAACACAAAAUAGGGUGGCACUUGACAUGUUGCUAGCACGUGAAGGAGGAGUGUGUCAAAUUAUAGGAGAUCACUUUUGUACAUUUAUACCCCAGGGAGAUGACAAUUUGACUAUUGUAGUGGAACAUUUGAAAGAGCUUAGGGGUGUUCUCGAAAGGGAACACCAGCCUGACAUCAACUGGAAUCCGUUAGGAUGGGUUCAGUCAGUGUUUGGUGCUUGGGCUGCGACCAUUUUCCACUGGUUAAUCUAUGGUCUAAUAUUACUGAUUGCUCUGUUGCUAAUUAUAAUUUGUGUGAAGAAAUUGUUUAAUAAAGUGGUUGAUGUUGUUCUUACUAUGCCCUUGCUUGCAAAUGAAGUAGGUGUAGAUGAGGAAUCUGAGAUUGAUGGACAACAAUCAGGUGAACACAGUGAAAUAUUCUCACUGGACAGUGUAGAGAGAGGGUUCACUGUAUAUGAAUGAUUUCCCUGACCCAUUCCCUAUUCCUGACUAUAUCUCUGAUAGUGGGGAAUCCAAUUCUAAGCAUGAGUACUUAGAGGGAUGACUGUCCUAUAGGUUGUAACGAUGCCUGUGUUUAGGUUGUAAUGAUGCCUGUGUUUAGGUUAUCUUGUAAUUUUGGGAGCAUUUAUGUUUUUUUAUUUUUACUCAACAAAUGUAUUAUUCUAUAUGUUUAAACAGGUGCAAGUCUGUUAUGGUAUAAACAUUGUAAACUCAGUUUCUGACGGGUGAAUACUUACAUUGAAGGGAUUUGAUUCUUUAUUAUCUUUAAAUUUUAAUUAUGGAUUUUUUAAUUGUAUUAUAUACUCUGCUGUUAGUAAGGUGCCAUGUUACUAUUCUGAUUCUUCAGAAGUGACUGAGUCCCUUGAGAGGGGAAUGUUGUGGAAUUGGUUGAGUAACAUAGAUAAGAUGUGUUAUUUUCAUGAUAUGCUUAUGAGUUAUUUCUCAUAAGAAUGUAUUUUGUUGUACUAUAGUGGUGGCCAUUGGCAGUUAUCUGUUCUAUGUCAGGACUAAGUUGCAUGGGCCACAGGAGAGGGGAGAGGUCAAGGGGUCAUCAUGUGUAAACGUAUCUUUUCGGUGUGGCAGUGACUCCCUACUUUUCUCAUCGGGGAAAGAAGGGUGACAGUGUCUGGAAUCAUUCUAUGCUCCCUCUUUGUUGACCUAUAGGUUCACUCUCCUCUCCGUGAGUUUGUCCUCUGUUUGGUUGUAUUUAGAAUUGUUUCUAAAUAAAUUACAAUUUGUAUAUAUCAUAGGGUGGGGGUAAUGUCUUGGUACCAUUUUGUACCAAGGACGAGAUAAGAGCUUUGUUUAGGAGACCAAACUGAACGAUAAUUUAUAGCCCACUCUGUCUGACUAGGGGAUAUUCUCUCUGAAGUAAGGUUUUUUCUCUCCCUGUAAGUUCCUAAGACCUGUGUUUUGUCAUGUCGUCUAGGAGGGGGUGGAUCUUUGCUAUAAAGGAUCCCAUUUGCCAUUGUGUAAGGACUCUCAACUUUUCAUUAGAGAUACUGAAAUGUUGAAAGUCAAAAUGCUAUUGCAAAAGCUUAAUUAUUAUUAAAGGUGAAGAUUAAGCAUAA